UUAAGCGACUAAGCGUACACGGUGGAUGCCCUGGCAGUCAGAGGCGAUGAAGGACGUGCUAAUCUGCGAUAAGCGUCGGUAAGGUGAUAUGAACCGUUAUAACCGGCGAUUUCCGAAUGGGGAAACCCAGUGUGUUUCGACACACUAUCAUUAACUGAAUCCAUAGGUUAAUGAGGCGAACCGGGGGAACUGAAACAUCUAAGUACCCCGAGGAAAAGAAAUCAACCGAGAUUCCCCCAGUAGCGGCGAGCGAACGGGGAGCAGCCCAGAGCCUGAAUCAGUGUGUGUGUUAGUGGAAGCGUCUGGAAAGGCGCGCGAUACAGGGUGACAGCCCCGUACACAAAAAUGCACAUGCUGUGAGCUCGAUGAGUAGGGCGGGACACGUGGUAUCCUGUCUGAAUAUGGGGGGACCAUCCUCCAAGGCUAAAUACUCCUGACUGACCGAUAGUGAACCAGUACCGUGAGGGAAAGGCGAAAAGAACCCCGGCGAGGGGAGUGAAAAAGAACCUGAAACCGUGUACGUACAAGCAGUGGGAGCACGCUUAGGCGUGUGACUGCGUACCUUUUGUAUAAUGGGUCAGCGACUUAUAUUCUGUAGCAAGGUUAACCGAAUAGGGGAGCCGAAGGGAAACCGAGUCUUAACUGGGCGUUAAGUUGCAGGGUAUAGACCCGAAACCCGGUGAUCUAGCCAUGGGCAGGUUGAAGGUUGGGUAACACUAACUGGAGGACCGAACCGACUAAUGUUGAAAAAUUAGCGGAUGACUUGUGGCUGGGGGUGAAAGGCCAAUCAAACCGGGAGAUAGCUGGUUCUCCCCGAAAGCUAUUUAGGUAGCGCCUCGUGAAUUCAUCUCCGGGGGUAGAGCACUGUUUCGGCAAGGGGGUCAUCCCGACUUACCAACCCGAUGCAAACUGCGAAUACCGGAGAAUGUUAUCACGGGAGACACACGGCGGGUGCUAACGUCCGUCGUGAAGAGGGAAACAACCCAGACCGCCAGCUAAGGUCCCAAAGUCAUGGUUAAGUGGGAAACGAUGUGGGAAGGCCCAGACAGCCAGGAUGUUGGCUUAGAAGCAGCCAUCAUUUAAAGAAAGCGUAAUAGCUCACUGGUCGAGUCGGCCUGCGCGGAAGAUGUAACGGGGCUAAACCAUGCACCGAAGCUGCGGCAGCGACGCUGAUGCGUUGUUGGGUAGGGGAGCGUUCUGUAAGCCUGCGAAGGUGUGCUGUGAGGCAUGCUGGAGGUAUCAGAAGUGCGAAUGCUGACAUAAGUAACGAUAAAGCGGGUGAAAAGCCCGCUCGCCGGAAGACCAAGGGUUCCUGUCCAACGUUAAUCGGGGCAGGGUGAGUCGACCCCUAAGGCGAGGCCGAAAGGCGUAGUCGAUGGGAAACAGGUUAAUAUUCCUGUACUUGGUGUUACUGCGAAGGGGGGACGGAGAAGGCUAUGUUGGCCGGGCGACGGUUGUCCCGGUUUAAGCGUGUAGGCUGGUUUUCCAGGCAAAUCCGGAAAAUCAAGGCUGAGGCGUGAUGACGAGGCACUACGGUGCUGAAGCAACAAAUGCCCUGCUUCCAGGAAAAGCCUCUAAGCAUCAGGUAACAUCAAAUCGUACCCCAAACCGACACAGGUGGUCAGGUAGAGAAUACCAAGGCGCUUGAGAGAACUCGGGUGAAGGAACUAGGCAAAAUGGUGCCGUAACUUCGGGAGAAGGCACGCUGAUAUGUAGGUGAAGUCCCUCGCGGAUGGAGCUGAAAUCAGUCGAAGAUACCAGCUGGCUGCAACUGUUUAUUAAAAACACAGCACUGUGCAAACACGAAAGUGGACGUAUACGGUGUGACGCCUGCCCGGUGCCGGAAGGUUAAUUGAUGGGGUCAGCGCAAGCGAAGCUCUUGAUCGAAGCCCCGGUAAACGGCGGCCGUAACUAUAACGGUCCUAAGGUAGCGAAAUUCCUUGUCGGGUAAGUUCCGACCUGCACGAAUGGCGUAAUGAUGGCCAGGCUGUCUCCACCCGAGACUCAGUGAAAUUGAACUCGCUGUGAAGAUGCAGUGUACCCGCGGCAAGACGGAAAGACCCCGUGAACCUUUACUAUAGCUUGACACUGAACAUUGAGCCUUGAUGUGUAGGAUAGGUGGGAGGCUUUGAAGUGUGGACGCCAGUCUGCAUGGAGCCGACCUUGAAAUACCACCCUUUAAUGUUUGAUGUUCUAACGUUGACCCGUGAUCCGGGUUGCGGACAGUGUCUGGUGGGUAGUUUGACUGGGGCGGUCUCCUCCUAAAGAGUAACGGAGGAGCACGAAGGUUGGCUAAUCCUGGUCGGACAUCAGGAGGUUAGUGCAAUGGCAUAAGCCAGCUUGACUGCGAGCGUGACGGCGCGAGCAGGUGCGAAAGCAGGUCAUAGUGAUCCGGUGGUUCUGAAUGGAAGGGCCAUCGCUCAACGGAUAAAAGGUACUCCGGGGAUAACAGGCUGAUACCGCCCAAGAGUUCAUAUCGACGGCGGUGUUUGGCACCUCGAUGUCGGCUCAUCACAUCCUGGGGCUGAAGUAGGUCCCAAGGGUAUGGCUGUUCGCCAUUUAAAGUGGUACGCGAGCUGGGUUUAGAACGUCGUGAGACAGUUCGGUCCCUAUCUGCCGUGGGCGCUGGAGAACUGAGGGGGGCUGCUCCUAGUACGAGAGGACCGGAGUGGACGCAUCACUGGUGUUCGGGUUGUCAUGCCAAUGGCACUGCCCGGUAGCUAAAUGCGGAAGAGAUAAGUGCUGAAAGCAUCUAAGCACGAAACUUGCCCCGAGAUGAGUUCUCCCUGACUCCUUGAGGGUCCUGAAGGAACGUUGAAGACGACGACGUUGAUAGGCCGGGUGUGUAAGCGCAGCGAUGCGUUGAGCUAACCGGUACUAAUGAACCGUGAGGCUUAACCUU
This 2902-nucleotide ribosomal RNA is filed under the name Escherichia coli. Its description in RNAcentral is "bacterial LSU rRNA". It matches the Rfam family "Bacterial large subunit ribosomal RNA". The record is from RNAcentral. Lineage: Bacteria; Pseudomonadati; Pseudomonadota; Gammaproteobacteria; Enterobacterales; Enterobacteriaceae.